AGCUCGAAGAAACAUAAUUUUGAGUGAAGCCUGCCCAGUGCUUGAGUGUUAACGGCCGCAGUAUCUUGACUGUGCUAAGGUAGCAAAAUAAUUUGGCUUUUAAAUGGAGUCGGGAAUGAAUGGAUCCAUGGGGUAAAGCUGUCUCUACUGUAUUAACUUUAAUUUACUUACUAGGUGAAAAUGCCUAGAUUAUUAGAAAAAAGACGAGAAGACCCUAGGAGUUUUAAUUAAGAGUUACUGUAUUGUAACUUAAAUUUUUGUUGGGGCGACAAUGGAGUAUAAGAAUAGAGAACCUCCAUUACUAUAUUUGCCGACUUUGUAUGAGGAAUUAAACUACCCUAGGGAUAACAGCGUAAUUUUUUUAAGCUUGCGACCUCGAUGUUGGACUAGGAAUUUGGUAGGCUAGCCGCCUAUUUAAAGGGUUCUGUUCGAACUGUACCUCCU
RNAcentral lists this ribosomal RNA (444 nucleotides) under Polybranchia jannae. Its description in RNAcentral is "Polybranchia sp. jan PJK-2018 partial 16S ribosomal RNA". It matches the Rfam family "Bacterial large subunit ribosomal RNA", at positions 1828 to 2596 of the family's 2925-position model. The record is from RNAcentral. Lineage: Eukaryota; Metazoa; Mollusca; Gastropoda; Caliphyllidae.